RNAcentral lists this ribosomal RNA (248 nucleotides) under uncultured bacterium. RNAcentral's name for it is "partial 16S ribosomal RNA". It matches the Rfam family "Bacterial small subunit ribosomal RNA", at positions 109 to 354 of the family's 1533-position model. The record is from RNAcentral.
AGUAACGCGUGAGCAACCUGCCUUUCAGGAGGGGGAUAACGUUUGGAAACGAACGCUAAUACCGCAUGAUAUUAUUGAGCUGCAUGGCUUGAUAAUCAAAGGAGCAAUCCGCUGAAAGAUGGGCUCGCGUCCGAUUAGGUAGUUGGCGGGGCAACGGCCCACCAAGCCGACGAUCGGUAGCCGGACUGAGAGGUUGAACGGCCACAUUGGGACUGAGACACGGCCCAGACUCCUACGGAAGGCAGCAG